This is a long non-coding RNA of Neofelis nebulosa (Clouded leopard), 457 nucleotides long. RefSeq lists it as uncharacterized. The record is from RefSeq and is a predicted model, not a curated record. The transcript is spliced from 3 exons. NCBI's taxonomy places the organism in Eukaryota, Metazoa, Chordata, Mammalia, Carnivora, Felidae.
GGGAGCAGACACACAGCGGCCAGGCCUGGUGGUCGAGUGCUGAGAAGGCUUUCAGAAAAAUGAAUGCCAACAUCCAAAGAGGCCUCUACACCAACGUUCAUGCCACAUCAUUCAUACUAGGCAAAACCGGAUACAACCCAAAUGCCCAUCAACAGAGAGACAGUGACAGUGCGUGAGCAGGGGAGGGGCAGAGAGAGACGGAAACACAGAAUCCGAAGCAGGCUCCAGGCUCUGAGGUGUCAGCACAGAGCCCAACGCGGGGCUCAAACUCGUGAACUAUGACAUCAUGACCAGAGCCAAAGUGGGACGCUUGACCAACUGAGCCACCCAGGCGCCCCUCAACAUACAUUUUAAAAACAUAGGCAUUCUUACCAUUGCUCAGAGAGUCCUAUUUAUUUGACUUAGCCACGUAUUUUACCUAUUCAUUGCCCUUCCUUCCUUCCUUCCUUCCUUCCUU